Daktulosphaira vitifoliae (grape phylloxera) is the source of this 606-nucleotide long non-coding RNA. RefSeq lists it as uncharacterized. The record is from RefSeq and is a predicted model, not a curated record. Lineage: Eukaryota; Metazoa; Arthropoda; Insecta; Hemiptera; Phylloxeridae. The transcript is spliced from 3 exons.
UAGAUUUAAUCUAAAAACUUAACUGUGUCUAUGUCUUUAUCUAGUUUUAAUUUUCACAUUUAUUAUAAGGUGUUAAAUGAUUGAAAUUGUCAAGCGAAAAAAUUGUUUGAAAUUGGGUUGGAUUUUGUUGACUGGACCAUUCAGAAUUCAUUGAUGAUUAUUUUCCAUUGAAGCUCACAAACAAAAACAAAUCAUAGAACUACCGAUUAAUGACGAUUUUACAUUCAUUAUUAUUAUAGCAUUGAGAAAAGUUGUUUUAUAAUAUCGAUUAGAAGUCAAUGAAUAAUUAUUUUUAUUCGCAUUCAACGUUGGAAGGGGAAUGAUUGGAGGCCUCGAUAUGGGCACUACAAAAUGGAGAUUAUCCACCUCAAUUAACAAAUUAAAUCCGCAACAAAUUAUGUACAUUUAUUUAUAGAAUACAUUUACAGUUGAUACUGUAAUUAUUUUGUUACAUUUAUUUUUUCAAAGUUACUUAAACUGUAAAAUAGGAAAAUAAUAUAAUUAUUAUUAAUUAUGCUUGUCUAAAAUUCUAUAUUUUUUCAUAAAUGUCUAAAAAAUACUCAAUUAACAGAGGAAAUCGAAAAUAAUGAUUUUUUAAUUUUGAAU